GCAGAGAGAAGACAGAAAGAGAGUGAGCACAGGAGGAUAAUUAUCUCAGACCUCUUGCUGCUAUCUUGGGCAGUCUAGAUGUGCUUAAAUGCC
RNAcentral lists this microRNA precursor (93 nucleotides) under Tupaia belangeri (northern tree shrew). Its description in RNAcentral is "miRNA (ENSTBEG00000017938.1)". The record is from RNAcentral. Lineage: Eukaryota; Metazoa; Chordata; Mammalia; Scandentia; Tupaiidae.